Camelus ferus (Wild Bactrian camel) is the source of this 65-nucleotide transfer RNA. It matches the Rfam family "tRNA". Rfam says of the family: Transfer RNA (tRNA) molecules are approximately 80 nucleotides in length. Their secondary structure includes four short double-helical elements and three loops (D, anti-codon, and T loops). Further hydrogen bonds mediate the characteristic L-shaped molecular structure. tRNAs have two regions of fundamental functional importance: the anti-codon, which is responsible for specific mRNA codon recognition, and the 3' end, to which the tRNAs corresponding amino acid is attached (by aminoacyl-tRNA synthetases). tRNAs cope with the degeneracy of the genetic code in two manners: having more than one tRNA (with a specific anti-codon) for a particular amino acid; and 'wobble' base-pairing, i.e. permitting non-standard base-pairing at the 3rd anti-codon position. Lineage: Eukaryota; Metazoa; Chordata; Mammalia; Artiodactyla; Camelidae. The record is from Rfam.
GGUCUGGCUCAGUGGUAGAGUGCAUGCUUAGCAGGCACGUGGUCCUGGAUUCAAUCCCCAGGACC